CCGCACUUCCUCAGUUCCGGCACGUCUGUAGCUGUACAAGAGCCGUGUCGUGUCCAGCGUUAGAAGUGUGAAACAAUCGGCAACGCUCUGUCAACUCGACGUCAUCGAACCGCCGCGUUGAUAGGAUGAAAGCGCGCGAAAUCCAGUCACGGCUGCUCGAGGUCCUUGAAGCGGAACCUGCAGGAACGCAUCCGAAGAACGUCCGAAGACGUCCACUGUCGUCGAGGCGUCCUCUAUCGUUAUGUAAGUCGACAGGCGACGCGGGGCAAGCGAGAAGUCGUCGUCGACCGGGUCGUGGCCUUUGGGCGAACGGGGGCAAGGCGAGUCAGUUCUUCGGCCCGCGAUGCUGCAGUCCAGCGAAGGUCGCUCGAGUCCGGGAGGACCUGGCAAGGCCACCAAAGCUGGUUGGGACGCGCUCUUGCCCAGCUCAUCCAUCCCGCCCUGACCGACCCCGUUUUGUUUCUCCUGCCUGCAAGGUCUCGCUCAAUAUCCGGACACGCUCUGCCCGGCACUCUUUCGUCACAGAAGCGGAGGAGAUUUCUACGUCCCGUUGAUGUCACGCAAAUCCUGACCAGCGAGUGCUAUUCCCAAGAGCAAAGCACCCUGUACCGACGACUCCCGGAUGCCUUUUGCGAUUUUUCAUUCAACCUGCUUCAUGUGCGUCUCGCGCUCUUUUGUGAGCGUUACAAGCAUAUUCCAUCAGUGAAUCUGUGGUAUGUGAUGAUAUUUCCGUCCUGGGUGUUUGGAUAUCCCAUAGAUCAUCGCGCCGAGCCUGUGCUAACCUUUCCCUUCUUAUU
This is a long non-coding RNA of Ornithodoros turicata, 797 nucleotides long. RefSeq lists it as uncharacterized. Lineage: Eukaryota; Metazoa; Arthropoda; Arachnida; Ixodida; Argasidae. The record is from RefSeq and is a predicted model, not a curated record. The transcript is spliced from 3 exons.